Non-coding RNA from Salvelinus namaycush (lake trout), 466 nucleotides. Lineage: Eukaryota; Metazoa; Chordata; Actinopteri; Salmoniformes; Salmonidae. The record is from the annotation of a RefSeq genome assembly.
AUGACGACGUUGGAGAACGAGGUUUUUGUACCAGCAGUAACAGGGAUUGUAUCACUGUGGUACACUUUUGGUAGCGGCACCAGACUAGAUGUUGGAAGUAACAGUGCUCCCACCCUCACCGUCCUGCCCCCCUCUAGUGAGGAGCUGUCCAGUACAACAACAGCCACACUGACGUGUCUGGCCAACAAGGGCUUCCCCUCAGACUGGAUCAUGAGCUGGAAAGUGGACGGGACCAGCAAGAAGCAGGAGGCCAGUCCCGGGGUCCUGGAGAAGGGCGGUCUGUACAGCUGGAGCAGCACCCUGACUCUCACUGCCCAGGAGUGGACCAAGGCAGGAGAGGUGACCUGUGAAGCCCAGCAGAAAUCUCAGACUCCAGUCACCAAGACCCUGAGGAAGGCUGACUGUUCUGUGUAGGACCCACCAGUCACACACCCCUGUGGAGAGAGAUUGCUGGUUCCUCUGCUUU